This 468-nucleotide ribosomal RNA is filed under the name uncultured bacterium. Its description in RNAcentral is "bacterial SSU rRNA". It matches the Rfam family "Bacterial small subunit ribosomal RNA", at positions 329 to 794 of the family's 1533-position model. The record is from RNAcentral.
GUCCAGACUCCUACGGGAGGCAGCAGUGAGGAAUAUUGGUCAAUGGGCGGGAGCCUGAACCAGCCAAGUCGCGUGAGGGAAGAAGGUACUGAGUAUUGUAAACCUCUUUUGCCAGGGGACAAAGGCGGCCACGGGUGGCCGUAAGAGGGUACCUGGAGAAAAAGCAUCGGCUAACUCCGUGCCAGCAGCCGCGGUAAUACGGAGGAUGCGAGCGUUAUCCGGAUUCACUGGGUGUAAAGGGAGCGUAGACGGCGACGCAAGUCUGGAGUGAAAGCCCGGGGCCCAACCCCGGGACUGCUCUGGAAACUGCGUCGCUGGAGUACGGGAGGGGCAGGCGGAAUUCCUGGUGUAGCGGUGAAAUGCGUAGAUAUCAGGAGGAACACCGGCGGCGAAGGCGGCCUGCUGGACCGUGACUGACGUUGAGGCUCGAGAGCGUGGGGAGCAAACAGGAUUAGAUACCCUAGUAUA